GCCACCCAACCGGUAUGGUGGAUAUGACCCUCGGCUUGGAACCGAGUGUGCUCGGGUUCGAAUCCCGAUUAAGGCU
Trichonephila clavata is the source of this 76-nucleotide non-coding RNA. The record is from the annotation of a GenBank genome assembly. NCBI's taxonomy places the organism in Eukaryota, Metazoa, Arthropoda, Arachnida, Araneae, Nephilidae.